Molecule: ribosomal RNA, 496 nt
Filed under: uncultured bacterium
Lineage: Bacteria
Description: partial 16S ribosomal RNA
Rfam family: Bacterial small subunit ribosomal RNA
Source: RNAcentral
GAUGAACGCUGGCGGCGUGCCUAAUACAUGCAAGUCGAGCGAACAGACGAGGAGCUUGCUCCUCUGACGUUAGCGGCGGACGGGUGAGUAACACGUGGAUAACCUACCUAUAAGACUGGGAUAACUUCGGGAAACCGGAGCUAAUACCGGAUAACAUAUUGAACCGCAUGGUUCAAUAGUGAAAGACGGUUUUGCUGUCACUUAUAGAUGGAUCCGCGCCGCAUUAGCUAGUUGGUAAGGUAACGGCUUACCAAGGCGACGAUGCGUAGCCGACCUGAGAGGGUGAUCGGCCACACUGGAACUGAGACACGGUCCAGACUCCUACGGGAGGCAGCAGUAGGGAAUCUUCCGCAAGGGGCGAAAGCUUGACGGAGCAACGCCGCGUGAGUGAUGAAGGUCUUCGGAUCGUAAAACUCUGUUAUUAGGGAAGAACAAAUGUGUAAGUAACUAUGCACGUCUUGACGGUACCUAAUCAGAAAGCCACGGCUAACUACGU